RNAcentral lists this ribosomal RNA (301 nucleotides) under uncultured bacterium. RNAcentral's name for it is "partial 16S ribosomal RNA". It matches the Rfam family "Bacterial small subunit ribosomal RNA", at positions 509 to 807 of the family's 1533-position model. The record is from RNAcentral.
CAGUCGCCACGGUAAUACGUAGGGUGCAAGCGUUAACCGGAAUUACUGGGCGUAAAGCGUGCGCAGGCGGUUAUAUAAGUCAGAUGUGAAAUCCCCGGGCUCAACCUGGGAACUGCAUUUGAGACUGUAUGGCUAGGGUGUGUCAGAGGGGGGUAGAAUUCCACGUGUAGCAGUGAAAUGCGUAGAUAUGUGGAGGAAUACCGAUGGCGAAGGCAGCCCCCUGGGAUAACACUGACGCUCAUGCACGAAAGCGUGGGGAGCAAACAGGAUUAGAUACCCGCGUAGUCCCUGUCUCUUAUAC